Aspergillus egyptiacus is the source of this 147-nucleotide non-coding RNA. Lineage: Eukaryota; Fungi; Ascomycota; Eurotiomycetes; Eurotiales; Aspergillaceae. The record is from the annotation of a GenBank genome assembly.
GCCCGGGUGGUCUAGUGGUAUGAUUCUCGCUUAGUAAGUUCCACUUAAGAAAUACCUUAUUUAGUUAUACUGUUACUAACAGCGCCUUCAGGGGUUCACCCUUAGCAAAUAUGCGAGAGGUCCCGCGUUCGAUCCGCGGCUCGGGCC